RNAcentral lists this long non-coding RNA (9192 nucleotides) under Fragaria vesca (wild strawberry). Its description in RNAcentral is "long non-coding RNA (FVES_LNC000675)". Lineage: Eukaryota; Viridiplantae; Streptophyta; Magnoliopsida; Rosales; Rosaceae. The record is from RNAcentral.
UAUAAAAAGAUCAUAAUCAAAUAAAAGUACCAGUGACAAUUUGCACUUGAAACUGUGAGCCAUCCUUUCCGAACCUAAAACCCCGAAAACAAGAUAAUCAUGAUGGUCACAUAUAAGAGCAAUCUAACAGUAUAUUGUGAAUAUUAACCACCUCAUGAUCCUCGCAGUAAAGAAAGACGACCCUCCCCUAAACCUUCCUCCUUGAUUACAAGAUCGUAACGCACCAACGACCUUAUGCCACAGGGACUUGAUUGCUCUUGUGUCAUCUACAUAUGGCCAGCCUCUGAUAAGACUCGUAUAUAAAUAUCCUCGUUGUCCCCGCCUUUAAUCUAUUCUGGCUUCCUUCUCUAUAUACGGUACUACCAUCACCCAUUAGCUCACUCUCAUGGUGUUUCUUAAUUCUUACCCAAGUUUGUGUAAGCCUCUCUCUCGUUCUAUCUCCCUGUAGUUAAUUGGAGGUUAUAACCUUCAGUGUACAUAUCGUUGUAUAUAGAAAGUCCAAGCUAAACCCUUUUGGAGAAUUCAUUUCCUUGUAUAGAUAUAUAGGAAUUAGGUGGGAGGACAAGAAGGUAGGGUGGAUUGAUUGAUUUAGGGAGUUGUCAAAGUACAACGUCAGAUGCAGAGUUUGGUUCUGACACGACCCACCCCAAAUUUCACCCUGAAACCCGGAGUAAGUCGUGCGGGGACCACCUCCAAGAAAAAUUUACCGAAAAGAUUGGUAAAACCUCCCUUGAAAAUGGACAACCCUAACCCGGAAAUUUCAAAUUUACACUAUUAUUACCACAUGUCCAAACAACACAUAAUUAUCCAGAUAAUAACCGCAAACAUUAUCUUCAGAAAUUCUAAACAUAAAGUCAACCGACCGAGCACACCACCGAAAAUAAUAUACAUUAAUCCCACAGUAUUCAGAGCUACUAGGAAUUAGCGGAAGCAAGAAGACACGAGUAGGUUAAACAGGUAACCUACUGAGGAAAACUAGCGGAAAAACGGGUGACUAUGCCUCGUCUCCUACUAGAUCCAACCCGAACUCUGCAGACUGGGCAUUUUAAAACGAAUGGCCUAGGGGAAAAACAUUUAAUAACAUUAGAGUGAGUGGACAAAAAUAAAUUAAUAAGAAAAAUAUUUAUGUUUCCCCAAAUCCAUUUCUAAGGAAAAAUCGAAUGAAUGCCGCAAGCGAUAAACCUUUUAUCUCAUAAAAUAUCGAGCCUCUCAGACUCUAUAAUAUAUGUAUGUAUUUAUACACGUCCAUACUCUCUAUAUAAAUUCAUGUGUCUAUAUAGGGCUACUAUGCUCGCGUCCAAUGCUCACGUCACGUCUUAAUGCAGUGCUACACUACGCCAUUAAGGUGGACAGACGGGUGUAUAAAUAUGUACGUGUCCAUACCCCCUAUGUGAAUUAAACACUCAUAUAGGGCUACUACGCUCAUGUCCAACGCUCACGUCACACCAUAAUGCGGCUAUAUGCUAUGCCAUUAAAGUGGACAAACACAUAUGGCUAGCUAGCAUUUAUAUACAUACUCUCCUCAAUAUACAUAUUUAUACUCACCGAAAAAUCCCAUUUUUUGGUAACUCUCCAAGAAAAAUAAAAGCGUCAAAAUUAAAUGACGUCAAAACUCUAACAAUUUAAAUGUUCGACCAUGAACCAUAGCAUGCAUAUUAUUUAAAACAAAAGUCCACUCACAAAUUUGGCCUAAACCUGAUGUCGAUCUGGAGCCUCGUCUGCUCGAGCCUCCUCACGUCCUGUUCCAAAUAUAAUAUUAAUUUCCCACUAAAAAUCCAAUAAUUAAACAAAAUGAGCAAAAUUAAACGUGAGCCUCCCGCACACUCAUCAUUUCCCAUCUACGCCAUUCUUAACUCAAAAUGGCUCAACCUUCACCGAACAUACCGCAGCCGUAAAUACAACCUCCCCCAAAAUACGACUUAAAUCCUACGGCCGGAUUCUACAUUAAUUAACCGCCAAAAAUACUAAACUUCAGAAAAUCACAAACCUAUCCAAAACUCAUCCAAAAAUUCCAUAAUUCACUUCAAUAAACUUCCCUUAAUAUUCCACAUUUAAAAACAUUAAAAUCUCCCAAACAGCUCCGGCGCCGGCAGCGGCGGCCGGAGGCUGAUUCCGGCGACCUCCAAAUCCUAUGAAAUUUUGACAGCAUAAUCCUCUUAUCAUGCUCUACAACUUUCAUAACUAGCACAAACCCAAAUCCAAGCCUAGCUAGGGUAAUCGACUAAAAACAUCCUGAAAGCCCUAGAAAUUUCAACUCCACAUUUCUCCUUACCAAGCUCAAGAAGGAGUGAGCCCUUUGGAGGGGUUGCUACACGGGAGGAGGGCUACAAAACGAGCCAAGGAUCGCCGGCUGUGGUGGCCGGAGGAGGGAGUUCCGGCGAAAAGCUUCCGGCGUCUCCGGCAAGUUUCUCCUCUUCCGGCGGGCUAAUGGCUCGAGGGCUAGGCCGGGGAGGGAGAGGAGGAUGGGGGUCCGAAUUGGGGUGGAGUGGUGGCUGGUGGCUGGCCGGACGGCAGCAGCUAGGGCUGGAGAAGAACCGGAAACGGGAAAAGUCGGGAGAUGGAAAAACCGAGGAAGAGAAAAGAGAAGAAGAAGAGAGAAAAAAGAGAGGGCUGGGCUUUUACCACCCCUUGGCCCGGUCCACACUUUUAUGCAACCCAAAUCCAAAAAAAUAAUACCCGAAUAAAAAUUACCUUUUACUAGCUAAAAUUUACCAUUUUUACCGUCGUCGUAUUUUCUUCCUACGAAUAAUCCUCCGCACAUAAUUGUCCCCGAAACCCUUUUAGGGACCAAUUAAACUAUCAACUCAAUGAUGGAAGACGGUAAAAUUUUAUUAUAAUCAAGCUAGUAAAUAAGGUAAAAAUUUAAAGGUCGGGAUGUGACAAUUCUCCCCUCCUUAUAAAAAAUUUCGUCCUCGAAAUUUACAUACCUUUCAUCCGAAGAGAUAGGGAUACUGCUGCAUCAUUUGCUCAUCUGAUUCCCAAGUAGCUUCUUCUACUUGAUGACUCCUCCAAAGCACCUUGACAAGCGGGAUUGUCUUGUUCCUAAGCACUUGCUCCUUUCAGUCGAGAAUCUGAACCGGUUCCUCUUCAUAGGACAAAUCUCUCGUCAAACUGAUCGGCUGCUCUUGCAGCACAUGAGAGGGAUCGGCAAUAUACUUGCGAAGCAUGAAUACAUGAAACACAUUAUGUAUCCUGGAUAACUCUGGAGGCAAGGCUAAUCGAUAAGCAAGUGAGCCAACUCGCUCUAUUAUCUCAUAAGGGCCAAUAUACCUCGGACUAAGCUUCCCACGCUUACCGAAACGUACUACCUCUUUCCAAGGAGAUAGUUUCAAGAACACCCAAUCACCCACUUGAAACUCAAGGACUCUCCUACGGACAUCUGCAUAACUCUUCUGCCUACUUUGAGCGGCCUUGAGUCUAUCUCUGACCACUUUAAUCUUCUCAUUUGUAACAUGAAUCAACUCUGGGCCACAAAGCUCUUUUUCCCUUACUUCAUUCCAACACAAAGGCGUACGACACUGCCUCCCAUAAAGAGUCUCAAAAGGAGCCAUACAAAUGCUAGAAUGAUAGCUAUUAUUAUAGGCAAAUUCCAUCAAAGACAGGUUUUUAUCCCAACUCCCUCUGAACUGCAAGGCACAAACCCUCAACAUAUCCUCCAAAGUCUGAAUAGUCCUCUCGGACUGCCCAUCAGUUUGAGGAUGAAAAGCAGUGCUGAAGAGUAAUUGGGUACCUAAGGCUGCCUGAAGAGCUCCCCAGAAUUUAGAAGCAAAUCUAGGAUCCCGAUCCGACACUAUUGAUUCAGGAACACCAUGAAGCCUCACAAUUUCAUUCACAUAAAGCUCCGCCAAUUUAUCUAAUUUAUACUUCUUUCCCACUGGCAAGACAUGUGCAAACUUGGUGAGUCGAUCCACAAUCACCCAAAUACCAUCAUGCCCUUCACGGGUACGAGGUAAACUGAAAACAAAAUCCAUGGUGAUGUGGUCCCACUUCCACACUGGAAUAGGCAACGGCUUAAGCAAUCCAGAAGGCUUCUGCCUUUCCGCCUUUACUUGCUGACAAAUCAGACAUCUACUCACAUAAGCUGCAAUUUCCCUCUUCAUGUUUGGCCACCAAUAAUAAUCCUUCAAAAUUCGAUACAUUUUUGUGCUACCUGAAUGAGCAGCAUAAGUGGAACUAUGAGCUUCCUCCAUAAUCUCACUCUUCAACUCUUCAUUCCUUUUUGGAACACAAAGCUGAUUCUUAAACAAUAAAGUCUUAUCCCUUCUAACUGAAAAAUGAUCGGCGGCGGCUCCAUUCAAAGCUCUUUCUAUCAACCGAACUAUGGAAGGAUCAUUAUACUGUGCAUCCUGCACUCUAUCAAUCAAAACUAGCCUCACAUGAAAACUAGCUACCAAAGCACCAACCUCAUCUAUUGCUAAAUCCACCCAUGUAGCUCGCAACUCACAAAGAAGCGGAACACAAACCAUCUUUAUAUGAGAUAAAGAUAUGGAGGGAUUUCGACUAAGAGCAUCAGCUACCACAUUAGCUUUUCCAGGAUGAUACUCAAUAGUGCAAUCAUAAUCAUUGAUUAACUCCAUCCACCUUCUCUGUCUCAUAUUUAGCUCUCUUUGGGUGAAUAUAUACCGAAGACUCUUGUGAUCGGUAAAAAUCUGACACUUGGCUCCAUAAAGAUAGUGUCUCCACAACUUGAGAGCAAAAACUACCGCUGCAAGCUCCAGAUCAUGAGUAGGAUAAUUCCCCUCAUGCGGCUUCAAUUGCCUAGAAGCGUAGGCAAUAACUUGAUCAUGCUGCAUCAAAACUCCACCUAGACCACGUCUAGAAGCAUCACAAUAGACUACAUACUCUCCACUAUCAUCCGGAAGUGCCAAAACAGGGGCACUUGUUAAGCAAUUCUUCAAUUCUUGGAAACUUUGCUCACAUUGAUCUGACCAAUCAAACUUAACUCCUUUCCUGGUCAAUCUUGUAAGAGGAGCAGCAAUCUUUGAAAAAUCUUUCACAAAGCGCCGAUAAUAACCUGCUAAUCCCAAGAAACUACGAAUCUCCGCACAGUGGUGGGUCUUCUCCAAUUUGACACCGCUUCCACCUUUUGGGGAUCCACACUAACUCCUUCUACCGAAACCACAUGACCCAAGAACCCCACUUGAUCUAGCCAAAACUCACACUUGUUGAACUUAGCAUAUAACUACGAAUUUUUCAAAGUCCGCAAUAUUAUUCUUAGAUGCUUGGCAUGCUCCUUCUCACUUCUUGAGUAAACCAAGAUGUCAUCUAUGAAUACGAUCACGAAACAAUCAAGAUAUGGACUAAACACCCUAUUCAUGAGAUCCAUAAACGCCGCGGGUGCAUUAGUAAGUCCAAAUGGCAUCACCACAAACUCAUAAUGACCAUAUCGUGACCGAAAAGCAGUCUUGGUUAUGUCCCACUCUCGGAUCUGCAACUGAUGAUAACCCGAUCUCAAAUCAAUCUUAGAGAAAACAGAGGCACCCAUCAACUGAUCAAAUAAAUCAUCGAUCCGAGGCAACAGAUAUUUAUUCUUCAUUGUGACCUGAUUCAACUUUCUAUUAUCAACGCAUAGUCUCAUGGUGCCAUCUUUCUUCUUAAUGAACAACACCGGAGCACCCCAUGGAGACAUGCUAGGCCGAAUAAAACCCUUGUCUACCAACUCCUGCAAUUGAGUCUUCAACUCUUUCAAUUCCGCUGGAGCCAUUCUGUAAGGUGCUUGAGAGAUAGGCAUAGUUCCGGGAAGUAAUUCUAUGGAGAAGUCUAUCUCCCUUGCAGGAGGUAAACCACGCAACUCUUCAGGAAAAACAUCCGGGAACUCCCUUACAAUAGGAAUAUCUUCUAUUUCCAAGACUCUCAUACUUGUAUCCACCAUGUGAGCUAAAUAUGCCUGACAGCCUUUACUCAACAAUUUCCUUGCAGCAACAACGGAAAUUAUGCAACUAGAAAUAACAUCUCUUUCCCCUUAGAAAGCAACCUCAAAACCAUCUGGACUUCGAAGCACCACUAAUUUCUGAAAACAAUCUACCAUAGCUCUAUAUGCUUCCAAAAAGUCCAUUCCCAAGAUCACAUCAAACUCCACUAUAUCUAAAGGAAUUAAAUCAGCCUCGAAAUUAACUCCUUCCACUAAAACUUCACAACCACUAAACACUCAAUUUAUUCUCAUCACCUCACCGGAGGGUAGAGACACAUGCCACUCGCCUGGAAGAGACGAUGAUGGCACAUUGGCAUGGAGGGCAAAUCUACUAGACAUGAAUGAAUGCGUGGCUCCGGGAUCAAUUAAAGUAAAUGCAGGCUGACCAAAAAUUAAUAACGUACCAAUGAUGACAUCUGGAGAGGUACGACCCUCCUGCUGGGUCAUAGCAUGCAGUCUAGCGCGAGUCAUGGGACGUCCACGCUGACCACCGCCCCGCUGAGAGCCACCUCUGACCGAUGCACUGCCCUGGCACCACUACUGGAGCCUCCAGCUGAAGACUGAUCAACUAGCUGAGUAGGGGUGGGAGUGGUCCUCUGAGCCAAUAAUGGACACUCUCUCCGGAAGUGGUCCUGACUGCCACACUCAAAGCAUCCAGAAUAUUGCUGCUGUCCAAAUGAAAAAGUCUGACUACCAGAUGUCCCACCCUGAAAGCUGCCACUAGAACCAUACUGUCCAGCUUGUGGUCUACCCAACUGACUCCUAGCAGGUCUCCUGUGACGUCCUCUAACCCUGAACCGAGAAUUAGAACCUGAUCCCCCACUACUGCCACUACCAGCUGAAGAACCAGAAGCGGAUGAUGAAGCAACUUUCUUGGAUGGACCCUGACUGGGGCCACCGAAAUCUCGUGGCCGAGCACUAUAAAUCCUCAUAGACUCAAUGGCCAUGGCUGCAUGAACAGCAUAAAGAAAAGUCGGGUAAUAAACACCCGUCAUCUUAUCUGCAAACACUCCACCAAGUGCCCCAAUGAACAUCUCCAUCCUGGUCAUCUCAUCAGGAACCAGAUAUGACACAUGGUAGCUCAAGGAAGUGAACCUCUGCUCAAACUCUAUGACACCUUCAUCAUCCCUCUUCUUCAUAUUCAGGAAAUCCGACUAAAUUCUGUUGCGGUGGGCAGGACUGAAAUACUGCCCCAAGAAAAGCGUCUUAAUCUACUCCCAAGACAUAUUCUGAGCAUCCUCAACAAACCUGCUAGCGAGCGACCACCAGUGAUGUGCUGAAUCGUCUAGGAAAGUCACUGCCAUCUUCACCUUCCUUUCUUCUGACAAAUCUGUGCUUGCAAAAGCCUUUUCCAUUUUGUCUACCCAAGUAUAAACAUCAAGGGGUCCCUUGGCACCCUUGAACUCUCUUGCUCCAGCCUCAUAAACUUCUCUCCUCUUCACUGUAUGAGGGUGUGGAGCUCGAUUUAUAACAUCCCUUAGCAUAUUCCCAAGAUCAUCAACUAAUCCCCUGACCUCAUUGCCAUCAUUGGCAUUGGUCGAAGUAGCUACACGAGGUUGGCGUGGGCGCCUAGGAGGCAUAGUACAUGAGGAAGAAGAUAUUUAGUAGUCCAUAAAUAAGACUAACACAACUAUCACACAUACCCAAUAACACAUAGCAUCAAAAGCAUAAAAUGCCGAUGAAUCCGCCGCAGUCGGAUCAUCACUCUAUAGACACUACGUGCUACUUAAGCAAAUAUGAUAAUGACAAGGAAGCAGGAAAAGGAAACCUAAAGCUCUGAUACCAACUGACACGACCCACCCCAAAUUUCACCCUGAAACCCGGAGUAAGUCGUGCGAGGACCACCUCCAAGGAAAAUUUACAGAAAAGAUUGGUAAAACCUCCCUUGAAAAUGGACAACCCUAACCCGGAAAUUUCAAAUUUACACUAUUAUUACCACAUGUCCAAACAACACAUAAUUAUCCAGAUAAUAACCGCAAACAUUAAUUUCCCACUAAAAAUCCAAUAAUUAAACAAAAUAGGCAAAAUUAAACGUGAGCCUCCCGCACACUCAUCAUUGCCCAUCUACGCCAUUCUUAACUCAAAAUGGCUUAACCUUCACCUAACAUACCGCAGCCGUAAAUACAACCUUCCCCAAAAUACGACUUAAAUCCUACGGCCGGAUUCUACAUUAAUUAACCGCCAAAAAUACUAAACUUCGGAAAAUCACAAACCUAUCCAAAACUCAUCCAAAAAUUCCAUAAUUUACUUCAAUAAACUCCCCUUAAUAUUCCACAUUUAAAAACAUUAAAAUCUCCCAAACAACUCCGGCGCCGGCAGCGGCGGCCAAAGGCCGAUUCCGGCGACCUCCAAAUCCUAUGAAAUUUUGACAGCAUAAUCCUCUUAUCAUGCUCUACAACUUUCCUAACUAGCACAAACCCAAAAUCCAAGCCUAGCUAGGGUAAUCGACUAAAAACAUCCUAAAAGCCCUAGAAAUUUUAACUCCACAUUUCUCCUUACCUAGCUCAAGAGGGAGUGAGCCCUUUGGAGGGGUUGCUGCACGGGAGGAGGGCUACAAAACGAGCCAAGGAUCACCGGCUGUGGUGGCCGGAGGAGGGAGUUCCGGGGAAAAGCUUCCCGGUGUCUCCGGCGAGUUUUCUCCUCUUCCGGCGGGCUAACGGCUCGAGGGCUAGGCCGGUAGGGAGAGGAGGUGAUGGGGGUCCGAACUGGGGUGGAGUGGUGGCUGGUGGCUGGCCGGACGGCGGCAACUGGGGCUGGAGAAGAACCGGAAACGGGAGAAGUCGGGAGAGGGAAAAACCGGGGAAGAGAAAAGAGAAGAAGAAGAGAGAAAAAAGAGAGGGCUGGGCUUUUACCACCCCUUGGCCCGGUCCACACUCUUAUGCAACCCAAAUCCAAAAAAUAAUACCCGAAUAAAAAUUACCUUUUACUAGCUAAAAUUUACCAUUUUUACCGUCGUCGUAUUUUCCUCCUACGAAUAAUCCUCCCCACAUAAUCGUCUCCGAAACCCCUCUAGGGACCAAUUAAACUAUUAACUGAAUGACGGAGACGGUAAAAUUCUUAUUAUAAUCAAGCUAGUAAAUAAGGUAAAAAUUUAAGGGUCGGGAUAUGACAGGUUCAUUUUUUUUUGUUUGUUGUUUGUUGUUUGUUGUUUUGCUGUUCUUGAGUUUGUUCAGAACUUUCAGGGAUUUUCCGGGAUGGAUUUUGUUUUUGGGGUUUUUUUGUACGGUCGUUUUUCGCCGGUUUUUAUAUUGGGGUUGUGUCUCAUGUUUGGGUUUGGGUUG